This is a ribosomal RNA of Neurospora crassa OR74A, 154 nucleotides long. It matches the Rfam family "5.8S ribosomal RNA". From Rfam's summary of the family: 5.8S ribosomal RNA (5.8S rRNA) is a component of the large subunit of the eukaryotic ribosome. It is transcribed by RNA polymerase I as part of the 45S precursor that also contains 18S and 28S rRNA. Functionally, it is thought that 5.8S rRNA may be involved in ribosome translocation. The record is from Rfam. NCBI's taxonomy places the organism in Eukaryota, Fungi, Ascomycota, Sordariomycetes, Sordariales, Sordariaceae.
AACUUUCAAUAACGGAUCUCUUAAUUCUAAUAUUAAUAAAGAACGCAACGAAAUACAAUAAGUAAUAUAAAUUAUAGAAUUCAAUAAAUUAUUAAAUCUUUAAAUAUAUAUUACGCUCGCUAAUAUUCUAGCGAAUAUACUUAUUUGAACGUUA